AGUGAACGCUGGCGGUAGACCUAACACAUGCAAGUCGAACGGCAGCACAGUAAGAGCUUGCUCUUACGGUUGUCGAGUGGCGGACGGGUGAGGAAUACAUCGGAAUCUACUUUUUCGUGGGGGAUAACGUAGGGAAACUUACGCUAAUACCGCAUACGACCUACGGGUGAAAGCAGGGGAUCUUCGGACCUUGCGCGAUUGAAUGAGCCGAUGUCGGAUUAGCUAGUUGGCGGGGUAAAGGCCCACAAAGGCGACGAUCCGUAGCUGGUCUGAGAGGAUGAUCAGCCACACUGGAACUGAGACACGGUCCAGACUCCUACGGGGGGCAGCAGUGGGGAAUAUUGGACAAGGGGCGCAAGCCUGAUCCAGCCAUACCGCGUGGGUAAAGAAGGCCUUCGGGUUGUAAAGCCCUUUUGUUGGGAAAGAAAAGCAGCAGGUUAAUACCCCGAUGUUCUGACGGUACCCAAAGAAUAAGCACCGGCUAACUUCGUG
RNAcentral lists this ribosomal RNA (492 nucleotides) under uncultured bacterium. Its description in RNAcentral is "partial 16S ribosomal RNA". It matches the Rfam family "Bacterial small subunit ribosomal RNA", at positions 29 to 507 of the family's 1533-position model. The record is from RNAcentral.